AUGACGACCAUUCGCCGGUUCUGCUGCGACGAUCUGCUCCGCUUCGCCUCCGUCAACCUCGACCACCUCACCGAGACCUUCAACAUGUCCUUCUACAUGACGUACCUGGCUCGCUGGCCCGACUACUUCCACACCGCCGUCAACCCCGGCGACCGCGUCAUGGGAUACAUCAUGGGAAAGGUUGAAGGACAAGGUGAAUCUUGGCAUGGACAUGUUACGGCAGUGUCCGUUGCCUCAGAAUUCCGCAGACAGAAAUUAGCCAAGACGCUUAUGCACUUGCUGGAGGAAAUCAGUGAUAAGAUGGAUAAGGCCUAUUUUGUGGAUCUCUUUGUAAGGGCAUCCAACAUGCCGGCUAUAAGGAUGUAUGAAAAGCUGGGCUAUGUGGUUUAUCGAAGGGUGCUUCGGUACUACUCAGGGGAAGAAGAUGGCCUUGAUAUGAGAAAGGCAUUAUCACAAGAUGUUGACAAGAAGUCCAUCAUACCACUCAAGAGACCAAUUACACCGGACGAACUUGAAUACGACUGA
Molecule: ribosomal RNA, 525 nt
Filed under: Triticum aestivum (bread wheat)
Lineage: Eukaryota; Viridiplantae; Streptophyta; Magnoliopsida; Poales; Poaceae
Description: partial small subunit ribosomal RNA
Source: RNAcentral